Molecule: transfer-messenger RNA, 232 nt
Filed under: Azospira oryzae
Lineage: Bacteria; Pseudomonadati; Pseudomonadota; Betaproteobacteria; Rhodocyclales; Rhodocyclaceae
Description: Betaproteobacteria transfer-messenger RNA
Rfam family: Betaproteobacteria transfer-messenger RNA
About the family: Bacterial tmRNA, also known as 10Sa RNA or SsrA, is named for its dual tRNA and mRNA-like properties. Its role is to liberate the mRNA from a stalled ribosome. To accomplish this part of the tmRNA is used as a reading frame that ends in a translation stop signal.
Source: Rfam by way of RNAcentral
GGAGGCGUUCUGGACGCGGGUUCGAUUCCCGCCACCUCCACCUAAGAGUUUCGGAGAGUUCUUAGGUGGGGGUGUACUGGCUUCGACAGGGCGGGCAAAGGUGCGCAGGCAACUCGUCAGGCGAUCGACGUUAAUGAAGCAAAUCUCCAAACGCCAACGAUGAGCGUUUCGCAAUCGCCGCUUAAGGCUUUUGCCGAGGCUGCUUGAGCCUUGUUACCAAAGAAAAGCCGGU